GGAUGUGAGGGCGAUCUGGCUGCGACAUCUGUCACCCCAUUGAUCGCCAGGGUUGAUUCGGCUGAUCUGGCUGGCUAGGCGGGUGUCCCCUUCCUCCCUCACCGCUCCAUGUGCGUCCCUCCCGAAGCUGCGCGCUCGGUCGAAGAGGACGACCUUCCCCGAAUAGAGGAGGACCGGUCUUCGGUCAAGGGUAUACGAGUAGCUGCGCUCCCCUGCUAGAACCUCCAAACAAGCUCUCAAGGUCCAUUGUAGGAGAACGUAGGGUAGUCAAGCUUCCAAGACUCCAGACACAUCCAAAUGAGGCGCUGCAUGUGGCAGUCUGCCUUUCUUUU
Molecule: small nuclear RNA, 332 nt
Organism: Mus musculus (house mouse)
Lineage: Eukaryota; Metazoa; Chordata; Mammalia; Rodentia; Muridae
Gene: Rn7sk
Product: RNA, 7SK, nuclear
Exons: 1
Source: RefSeq, marked validated